Molecule: long non-coding RNA, 1049 nt
Filed under: Homo sapiens (human)
Lineage: Eukaryota; Metazoa; Chordata; Mammalia; Primates; Hominidae
Description: HSALNT0326356
Source: RNAcentral
CACUGAGCACCUUCCACAUACAAGAUAGUGGGCUAGGCACCAGGAAUACAACAGGAAACACACUAGACAUGGCUCUGCCCUCACGGGGCUUUUCUAAUACCACAGUUCAGUAGAUGAUGAUAUCCUUACUGGACCAGACACACAACCAACUUCAUUUACUCCAGAAUUGGGCUCCACAGUUGCAGCUGUCCUGGGAAGCACAUAGGCUCAGAUUCCAUACCCUGAGUGGUAAGGUCUUGAGCAUUUUGGCUCUUAAUCACUCACUGAAGUAGAAAGAAUCCACCUCCUUGCCCAAGCACUGAGUCCCUGGUGUCAAGCCCGAGUGACCAACUGAGAAUGCACUUGCCCUUCAGAAUUUUCAUAGAUUAGUGGAAGAAACUGCUGCUAACCCAUAAAGGGGGAGAGGAGAGGAUCAUCUUAUGGCAACCUUUGGGUUUACACAACGAAAUAGAAGCCACUGAGGAAAGCCUUCACAGAGCAAUUGAGACUAGUGAAUCAUCAUCCCCAAUUGACUCCCUGCAUCUGCCUAGAGAAAAAGAAAAAGUGGCUAAGAUAAUUGAAACAAUAACCUGCCAUCAGAUUUGGGAGAGGGACAGGGAUAAAACUCACUGCUCAACUUCAGCAAAAUCUUAUUUAUAUAUCUUCUUUUCUUUUUCUGCUUUUUAAAAAGUGAAAGCAAGUUUACUAGCAAAGUAAAGGAAUAAAGAAUGGCUACUCCAUAGGCAAAGCAGACUACAAACCUUAUUUUCUGAUAAACAUUGUGAUUUUUUUUUAAAACCAGAGCAACACAGAGCAAAGUGAUGCUCUUGGAGGAAAAAAGGAAAGGACAGUAAUUUUCCACAAAAGCAAAACUAUAUAUGUGUGUGUGUGUAUGUACAUGUACAUGUGUGUGUAUGUAUGUGUAUUGUGUAGAGUGUUUUAUAUGUUUAUGCCACUGUAUUUUUUUGAGUAUGCUAAGUACCCUGAUUUGAUCAUUAUACAACAUAUAUAUAUCAAAACAUCAAAUUGUACCCCAUAAAUAUAUAUAAUUACAAUGUGUUGAUAAAAAU